This is a long non-coding RNA of Neodiprion virginianus, 687 nucleotides long. RefSeq lists it as uncharacterized. NCBI's taxonomy places the organism in Eukaryota, Metazoa, Arthropoda, Insecta, Hymenoptera, Diprionidae. The record is from RefSeq and is a predicted model, not a curated record. The transcript is spliced from 3 exons.
UUUUUAUUAGGUGUUUUCGAGUGGAGCCUGGUCGAUGGGUGCAAACUACGUCUGGACCCUCUCUAUUUGCAGAUGAGACGUCACGAGAGAAACAGUUCCAAGUUACUGGCAAAGUUUUUAUAUUUCAAGAACUCGCGGUCAUCAUUCAACAUCCGUAGGGUUGGCAACAUGCAUCGCUAUUCGAUGAAUUCAAAAUCGAAGAAACAGUUGCCGGCAGAAUUUCAAAUGGCGACUAUCCGUGACGGCUUCAACGCAGCGUUGUUUCGAAUAAAUUUCGUGAGCUUUUGGAACGAACAGCGGGCUUAGCAUUGAUCAGAAUAUACCUACAUAAACCUUUAUUCAAACGUGCGAAUGAAUAUCAGGUUAACUGUCAGAUGUGGCUGUGCAGGUAUCGCGGAUUCCAUUUCCUCGAGUUCGGAAGGAUUUGCUGAUGGUAAAUGUUCCGUGUACGUAAUAAUACGUCUAUAAUGGUGUGUAAAUAUCAGCCAGCAGUGACAAACAUUGAGUUCAUAAUUCCCCGACUGUCUGAGAUGGUUAACCAAAAAGUUGGAAUAAUAAAGAUGAUUGAGAGUGGACACACUGGAGCAAAUCACGGACGUCGUGGGAGCCAACUGCUAUCAACAGUAACGUGAAAUCUUAUUUCCACUAAAAUCAUGCGCGUUAACAAUCGCGGCAGCAUCUUGCAAA